Molecule: small RNA, 210 nt
Filed under: Afipia sp. P52-10
Lineage: Bacteria; Pseudomonadati; Pseudomonadota; Alphaproteobacteria; Hyphomicrobiales; Nitrobacteraceae
Description: Bradyrhizobiaceae sRNA BjrC174
Rfam family: Bradyrhizobiaceae sRNA BjrC174
Source: Rfam by way of RNAcentral
GUCACGGAAACGUUAGCCAAACCAUAAUCAUGCCAAAUUUCGGCCAACCCCGCGCCGCCCUGGCUUGCGAUACAACAAUCUCUGCGUUGGCCCGGUUCUUCUGGUCCUGGAUUCCUCAGCCCCCAGCCCCCCGGGAUUGAAAGGACCGGGCCUGUUUCGCAGAGAGACGAACCUCCGAAGACAAACAGGCCAACGCAAGUUGGCCUUUUU